This is a non-coding RNA of Hypoxylon sp. FL1150, 90 nucleotides long. The record is from the annotation of a GenBank genome assembly. NCBI's taxonomy places the organism in Eukaryota, Fungi, Ascomycota, Sordariomycetes, Xylariales, Hypoxylaceae.
ACCAUUGUCGUCCAGUGGUUUAGGAUGCCAGGUUUUCAAACAUCUAACUUUGAUUCCCUGGAGACCGGGGUUCGAACCCCCGCAAUGGUA